GAAGGCAAAGUCCAAGAGAGAGAGAGAGAGAGAGAGAGAGAGAGAGAGAGAGAGAGAGAGAGAGAAAUAAUCAAUUCAAAAAGGCUCUGCUAGAUUCCCAGUCAACAUUCUCUGAGAAUAACAACAUAGUCAUUGCAGCUGUGUUUGCAUGAAUGAAUUUUUUUAGUAUGUAGUCAUUCAUGUAUCUGUUAAUUCAAUAUUAAGUGUGUCCAGUGAUGAAGGCUGUGUUACCUAGCUUGCUCUUUGUGGGUUUAAUCUGGAUGGCUAACACUGAGCUCCCUCAGAACGACAGAGACAGCAGAAGAGAGGAGGGAAGGGGAGGAGAGAGGAGAGGAGAAAACAGAAGGGGAAGGGAGAAGAACAGAGAGAGGGAGGAAUGGAGAGAGAGAGAGAGAGAGAGAGAGAGAGAGAGAGAGAGAGAGACCUGGAUUUUCAUACAGUUGUAGAUUGGGGUGUAAUAUCAAUAACUUUAAUGGAAGUGGAGCCUGUGCCCUGAUAGGAGCCCUGCUGCUCCUCAAAUAAAUGGCUUGGCUCCACCUCAGCAUUUAUCUGCCAGGACUCCGGCUUUAUCAGGGCACCAACUCAGAUUCCAUUAAUGUUAUCUCUUAAUUAGCUAUGUGAUUAACCUGUGUUACUCCUGUGCGAUAAUGAGUGGGAGACAGAACCAGGCAAGUUCAGCUGCCUUAUUACUCCCUCUUCAGAAGCCAAAUCAUCCUGGAGAACAUUCCAGGAAAGGGAAAAAAGAGAAAGAAAAAAAAAAAACCUCCAACAUCUGACUCGUUCUUCACUUGGAUGCAAAGACAAAUUCUGCCCUCUCUGGAGGAAGCUACUGAGACUCCAGCUAACAGUUAGGAUACUUAAGACUUCCUUCUAAUGCCUUCUACGAAUGAACUCCUUUCACAGUGGGGAGAGAAGGUGGGUCCUGUCAUUAUCUCCACUUCAAAGAGAGGGACAUUGAGAAGCAGAGAGGUCAAAUCUCGGCCCCAAGGUCACGCAGAUGGGAGAUGGCAGAGCCAGGAUCCAAAGAGAGGGAAGCUUGGCACCAGGCCAUCUGUCUCGCUGAGAUCCUGAGCUCAGGACUUCUCGGAUCUGUGACAUUGAACGCGCAGCCUGAGACAUUUCCUGACGCCCAGGGCCUCCUUCAUUUUCUCUUUCCCUGAUAGGAGCAGGGUAUAAUGCUGUGACUCAGUCCAGUGCAAUAUAAAGUGUAGAUGAGAGGACAGAUUCUCUCUCUCUCUCUCUCUCUCUCUCUCUCUCUCUCUCUCUCUCUCUCUCUCUCUCUCUCUCUCACACACACACACACACACACACACACACACACACACACAGUGCAAUGGCUAUCCAGAUAUUCCAUAUCUUGGAUUGCAAAGUCCUAGGCAGAAGGUGUGAUUCCUUAAUGGAUGGGUUUGCUUUGCAGUGCACUGUACUUAGGUGUGCCCUGCAUCGUCUCUUUAUGUGGAAUUUAAAAGUUAGAAAUAACCGCCUUUGGGGACCAUAUUUAGCGAACAGCGCUAUGAGAGAAAGACCUUUGAUGCUGGAGUUUUCUGUUUGAGGAAACACCUGGCCAUGCUGUCAGGAAGGGACCCAACUCCUGAGCAUCGCUCGAGCGCUGUCUACCUUUCCUGUGGUCCCCAGGCUGGACAAAAGGAGACCAAUUCUGUCUCUCAGUCUGCGGCCUAUAGCUCUUUGACAAACACAGAGAAGCUGUCUUGAUAGGAAUUAAAGGAGGAAGGAGAAGAAGGUAAAGGAGGAGGGGGAGACGGAGGAGAAGACCGUCUGUACCUAGUAAAGAAGACAGCAGACAUAGAAAUACUUGAGGUUCCGUUUUUAUUCCCCUUCAGCAGGGGCUUGAGGUAGAGAUGGAAGUUGACAUUUUUGAUCACACGGUCAGGACAGACCAAAUUUAUUCUUUUGUAGCUAAUGGAGAGUUUUGAAUAAGAAAAACGGUGCCUGUCUGACAUUACACAGGGCAUUAAACCCCACAAAUAUCUCUCUCUCUCUCUCUCUCUCUCUCUCUCUCUCUCUCUCUCUCUCUCUCUCUCUCACACACACACACACACACACACACACACACACAUAUGUGUGUGUGUGUUUUCCCAAAGACUCAAAGAAGAGUUUAUCAUCCAAGACUUGCUUUAUUUUCAAGUCUGCCUAGGUGAAGACAUUUUCUCCGAGAGCUCUGGUUUGUUUUUAAGGCAGCAUUAGUGACUAAUGGUGAGUCACUCUGUUUUGUGGCUUGGUACAGAACUUUCUAUUUAUUCAAGGGCUUAAAAUUCAACUUUGAGCAAUGUCCACAGCAGGGAAGAACAAUUAGUAAAUUCAUUUAUUGUGCUUUUGUGUACACUUUUAUUCUCAAGGCUAAUUAUUUGUUUAAAUUAUUUUUUGCUUCCAUCGACAGCGUUACCACGUAAAAACAUUUCAGCUAAGGUUUCUGGUAUGAAGCACAAGGCUCAGGUAGUUGACCCAUUUUUAUUAAAUGUCAUUAGCUUGAUUCGCUAAGGACCACACUUGUAGCAGAGCCUUUUUUUGGGGGGGGGGGUUCGAGACAGGGUUUCUCUGUGUAGCUUUGCGCCUUUCCUGGAACUCACUUGGUAGCCCAGGCUGGCCUCGAACUCAGAGAAAUUCACCUGGCUCUGCCUCCCGAGUGCUGGGAUUAAAGGCGUGGGCCACCACUGCCCGGCCGUAGCAGAGCCUUUUAUUUAACCAAAUGAGCAAUUAGUUUGUGGGAAUGUUAGGUGUACGAAGAAUAGUUAUUCAUGGUGCUGUUCCUCCUUUUCCCCAGUGUGGACCAUGGAGACCUUCUAUAUCUGAACUAUAAUGGAAUUCUGGUGUGCCAUACGGUGCACUGGUGUGGUUUUAUGCAAGGCAAUGCUCACCAAGCUGGUAUUCCAGUGCACAGAACCAAAGCGACGGCUUCUCAGUGCAUGCAGAGGGUCGCAAACCCGUCUCCUCUCUUAAUUCCCGAGUGUCUGGCCUGAAGCUGGAAAAUGAACCAGCUGCCGCUGGAGCAGAUCCCUCUCCGUGCACAGCUCCAGGUGUGGGACUUGAAAAGAUGGAUGACUUGGUGGAAGCACCGCCAGUCUCCUCCACCGGGCACAGGGAGGAGCAGCGGAACCCAGGGCAGCGGAACCCAGGGCAGCCAGAGCUCUCUUAGGCAGCAUCUUCCCAGUCUGGCUGGGUCUUCAGGGAGCCACACAGUCCAGAACGCCCGUCAGGAAAAGCAUGCCAUAGUUUCUACUCCAACUGAGAAAACAUUCCUGAAGCCACCAAGGGAAAACACAGAAGUCUGUGGCUCCAUCACAACUCUCCUGAUGAUAUCACAGGACAUUUUACAGCA
This is a long non-coding RNA of Peromyscus californicus insignis, 3337 nucleotides long. RefSeq lists it as uncharacterized. The transcript has 3 exons. Lineage: Eukaryota; Metazoa; Chordata; Mammalia; Rodentia; Cricetidae. The record is from RefSeq and is a predicted model, not a curated record.